UACGUAGGGGGCAAGCGUUGUCCGGAAUCAUUGGGCGUAAAGAGCGUGUAGGCGGCUUGGUAAGUCCGCUGUGAAAGUCCAGGGCUCAACCCUGGAAUGCCGGUGGAAACUGUCAAGCUUGAGUCCGGAAGAGGCGAGUGGAAUUCCGGGUGGAGUGGUGAAAUGCGUAGAGAUCCGGAGGAACACCAAAGGCGAAGGCAGUGUCCUGGGGAGUACCUGACGCUCAGGUGCGAAAGCCAGGGGAGCGAACGGG
Molecule: ribosomal RNA, 253 nt
Filed under: uncultured bacterium
Lineage: Bacteria
Description: partial 16S ribosomal RNA
Rfam family: Bacterial small subunit ribosomal RNA
Source: RNAcentral